RNAcentral lists this unclassified non-coding RNA (697 nucleotides) under Hevea brasiliensis (rubber tree). Lineage: Eukaryota; Viridiplantae; Streptophyta; Magnoliopsida; Malpighiales; Euphorbiaceae. The record is from RNAcentral.
UAAGCGCCUAUGCUAUGACUUCCCAUAGACUGAUAAUUUCUGCAAAUGUGCCUAAGCUGAUUUUGUGACCUCAUGAAUAGCAUUUGCCAAAUAUCCCACAUUGCCUGUAGUAAUGCCGGCCAUACUGAUUCGACCAUUACGGGUCAUAUAGAUAUGAUAUUCUUUUGUCAAACGAUCAACUUGUUCUGGUGUCAUCCCGCUAUAGCAAAACAUUCCAAUCUGCUUAGUAAUGUGCUUCCAUGACAAUGGUGACCCCAACUUUUCAAGGUUUUCUCGCAAAGAUGCACGCAUGGAAAUGAUGCGAUCAGCCAUUACCUUAACUUCCUUCAGCCAUAACUUCUUCAAGUCUGGAUCUCCAAGGAUAGUUGAAACUAUAAAUGCACCAUGAACAGGUGGAUUGCUGUACAUGGGUCUUGCAAGUUGCUGCAACUGACUUUUUACUGCCACUGCUUGUUUCUCAUUUUCACAAAGCACACUGAGGCAUCCUACUCUCUGGCCGUAGAGCCCCAUAUUUUUUGCAUAUGAUUGAGCAAUGCCAAUAUGAUGACCAUCCUCAAGAAAAAUCCUGAUAGACUUUGCAUCUCUCUCUGGAUCACCGCUGGCAAAGCCUUGAUAUGCCAUAUCAAAGAAGGCAAAAUGAUUUUUAACCUUGAAUAGGUGAGAUAUCUCUCUCCAUUCUUCCUCUGACGGAUCAACC